This 468-nucleotide ribosomal RNA is filed under the name uncultured bacterium. RNAcentral's name for it is "partial 16S ribosomal RNA". It matches the Rfam family "Bacterial small subunit ribosomal RNA", at positions 28 to 507 of the family's 1533-position model. The record is from RNAcentral.
GACGAACGCUGGCGGCGUGCUUAACACAUGCAAGUCGAACGGAAAGGCCCUGCUUUUUUGGGGUGCUCGAGUGGCGAACGGGUGAGUAACACGUGAGUAACCUGCCCUUGACUUUGGGAUAACUUCAGGAAACUGGGGCUAAUACCGGAUAGGAGCUCCUGCUGCAUGGUGGGGGUUGGAAAGUUUCGGCGGUUGGGGAUGGACUCGCGGCUUAUCAGCUUGUUGGUGGGGUAGUGGCUUACCAAGGCUUUGACGGGUAGCCGGCCUGAGAGGGUGACCGGCCACAUUGGGACUGAGAUACGGCCCAGACUGCUACGGGAGGCAGAAGUGGGGAAUAUUGCACAAUGGGCGGAAGUCUGAUGCAGCAACGCUGCGUGCGGGAUGACGGCCUUCGGGUUGUAAACCGCUUUCGCCUGUGACGAAGCGUGAGUGACGGUAAUGGGUAAAGAAGCACCGGCUAACUACGUG